Molecule: ribosomal RNA, 637 nt
Filed under: uncultured bacterium
Lineage: Bacteria
Description: bacterial SSU rRNA
Rfam family: Bacterial small subunit ribosomal RNA
Source: RNAcentral
GCUCAACCGAGGAAGUGCUUCGAAAACUGGUAAACUUGAGUGCAGAAGAGGAAAGUGGAACUCCAUGUGUAGCGGUGGAAUGCGUAGAUAUAUGGAAGAACACCAGUGGCGAAGGCGGCUUUCUGGUCUGUAACUGACGCUGAGAUUCGAAAGCAUGGGUAGCAAACAGGAUUAGAUACCCUGGUAGUCCAUGCCGUAAACGAUGAGUGCUAAGUGUUGGAGGGUUUCCGCCCUUCAGUGCUGCAGCUAACGCAUUAAGCACUCCGCCUGGGGAGUACGACCGCAAGGUUGAAACUCAAAGGAAUUGACGGGGGCCCGCACAAGCGGUGGAGCAUGUGGUUCAAUUCGAAGCAACGCGAAGAACCUUACCAGGUCUUGACAUACCAUGAAAAGCUUAGAGAUAAGUCUUUCCCUUCGGGGACAUGGAUACAGGUGGUGCAUGGUUGUCGUCAGCUCGUGUCGUGAGAUGUUGGGUUAAGUCCCGCAACGAGCGCAACCCUUAUUAUCAGUUGCCAGCAUUCAGUUGGGCACUCUGGUGAGACUGCCGGUGACAAACCGGAGGAAGGUGGGGACGACGUCAAAUCAUCAUGCCCCUUAUGACCUGGGCUACACACGUGCUACAAUGGUCGGUACAACG